This is an RNA transcript of Cynara cardunculus var. scolymus (artichoke), 1502 nucleotides long. It is a transcript of the gene named putative lipase YDL109C, with no coding region annotated. The transcript is spliced from 11 exons. NCBI's taxonomy places the organism in Eukaryota, Viridiplantae, Streptophyta, Magnoliopsida, Asterales, Asteraceae. The record is from RefSeq and is a predicted model, not a curated record.
CUAUAAAUAAAAUACAACCGCCCCCAUUGAGUGGUUUGCAUCAUCAACACUUCUUCUUCAUCAUCCUUCCUUACUUCUACGGUUUCCCAUUGUUUCUAUGAUCAUUCUCUUCGUUAUCCUCUUUAAUUUUUGUUUAUCUGCGAAGAUCGAAUCAAUUUCAUAGAAAAUUUCCGAAAUUCAAGGUUUAAUCGUUGAGCAUUUUGUAAUAGCCGACAUCGCAUACGUAGAGGAUGAAACACGGUGAUAUUUCAUCUGAGGCGGCGCCCGGCGGCGAAAAUAUAUUCAGUUGUGAUGAAGCCGAUGUUUCAUCCGCCGAUCAUCUCGUAGUCAUGGUCAAUGGAAUACUCGGAAGUUCUGCGGAUUGGAAAUUUGCUGCAGAGCAGUUUGUUAAGUCACUGCCAGACAGAGUAUUUGUUCAUCGCAGUGAAAGAAAUGCGGCAUCUCAGACAUUGGAUGGUGUAGAUGUAAUGGGCGAGCGAUUAUCUCAGGAGGUCCUUGAAGUGAUUAAGCAAAAGCCAAAUCUUCAUAAGAUUUCUUUUGUUGCACAUUCUGUGGGAGGCUUAGUGGCAAGAUAUGCUAUUGGGAGAUUGUAUAGGCCUCCAAAGGAAAAUACAGAGGAUUUGUCGGUUGAAAACUGCGAGGAAGGAAAGGCCACCAUAGGUGGUUUGAUUCCAAUGAACUUUAUUGCUGUUGCAACACCUCAUCUUGGUUCAAGGGGAAAUAAGCAGGUGCCUUUUCUUUUUGGUGUAUCUGCCCUCGAAAAAGCUGCUGUUCUUGUUAUACAUUGGAUAUUUAGAAGAACAGGCCGGCACCUUUUCCUUACAGAUAAUGACGAAGGGAAGCCUCCACUACUUAAACGCAUGUUGGAAGAUGAUGGUGAUUGUUAUUUCAUGUCAGCAUUAAGGUCAUUUCAUCGCCGGGUGACAUACUCAAAUGUAGGCUAUGACCAUAUCGUCGGAUGGAGAACUUCAUCAAUCAGGCGCAACACAGAACUGCCCAAGUGGGAGGACUCCGUAAAUGAGAAGUAUCCUCAUGUCGUGUAUGAAGAACGCUGCAAGGCAUGCGAUUUUGAUCAGGAUUUGACAAGCAGUAAUGAUACAAAAGAUGUAGAAGAGGAACUGGUGACUGGUCUUUCUCGUGUAUCGUGGGAAAAAGUAGACGUCAGUUUUCACAACAGUAGAUCGAGGUUUGCUGCUCAUAGUGUUAUUCAGGUGAAAGAUCACAACCUGCAUACAGAUGGGGCAGAUGUUAUUCAACACAUGAUAGAUCAUUUUUGUCUCUAAACGUCAUGCCAGAUCCUAAUAUUAAAGGUCCUGGCACAGGGUGUACGUCUCUUUUCUAAAGGAAAAACGUGUUCAAAAUGAACAUAGAAAGAAAGAAGGGGUGAUGCCAUGCACGAGGAGUUGCAAGAGAGUAGUAGUAAGUAGUACGUACGUAGUUUACAAGUAAUAUAUAUGUAGUAGCAAGAAUUAUUAUGUGUUUAUUUUAUUUUUUAUUUUAUC